AGAAGCAUAGAAAACUACAAAUAGAGUGGUGGAAAACGCCUGUAUCAAAAAAAGGGACUGCAGUUAAAAGCUAGGGCUAGGACUUGGAGGAUGUGUAGGCAAUCGGAAGGAGAGCCGGGGGAAGAAAAACCGAAAUGGAUUCAUUCUCUGUCCUGGAUGGAGAAGGAGAAGAGAGGAGAGGAGAGGAGAAGGGGACGAGCAAGCUUCCUCCGACGGGCGCUGUCCGGUGCAAAGUGAUCACCCCUGCGGGGCUGAGCGCAGCCCGGGAGCCCAGGCGGACUUUCGCUGGAUCCUGCCAAUCACACCGCUUUUCCUGGACAACACCCCGAGCUGGCAUGGACAUAGUCCAAAGGAUAUCCCGGCGUUGAAGAAACCUCUUCAGCUUUACACCCAGUGCCUUAUCACCAUCAGAAGUGGAAGAAGAACCUUAAAUGAAUGCAUAACAGCGGUUAAGCAACAAUUUGAAUAUUCAUAUUUUACUCUUCAAACAACAG
Long non-coding RNA from Alligator sinensis (Chinese alligator), 494 nucleotides. RefSeq lists it as uncharacterized. The transcript has 3 exons. Lineage: Eukaryota; Metazoa; Chordata; Crocodylia; Alligatoridae. The record is from RefSeq and is a predicted model, not a curated record.